This 305-nucleotide ribosomal RNA is filed under the name uncultured bacterium. RNAcentral's name for it is "bacterial SSU rRNA". It matches the Rfam family "Bacterial small subunit ribosomal RNA", at positions 333 to 635 of the family's 1533-position model. The record is from RNAcentral.
UUUUCCCUACGGGGGGCAGCAGUGAGGAAUAUUGGUCAAUGGACGAAAGUCUGAACCAGCCAUGCCGCGUGCAGGAAGACGGCUCUAUGAGUUGUAAACUGCUUUUGUACAAGGGUAAACCUGAAUACGUGUAUUCAGCUGAAAGUACUGUACGAAUAAGGAUCGGCUAACUCCGUGCCAGCAGCCGCGGUAAUACGGAGGAUCCAAGCGUUAUCCGGAUUUAUUGGGUUUAAAGGGUGCGUAGGCGGAUUGAUAAGUUAGAGGUGAAAUGUUCGGGCUCAACUCGGGAGCUGCCUCUAAUACUG